RNAcentral lists this small RNA (576 nucleotides) under Pan troglodytes (chimpanzee). RNAcentral describes it as "retained intron". Lineage: Eukaryota; Metazoa; Chordata; Mammalia; Primates; Hominidae. The record is from RNAcentral.
UGCAGAUUUUAUUCUGGUAGUGCAACCCUCUCAAAGGUUGAAGGAACUGAUGUAACAGGGAUUGAAGAAGUAGUAAUUCCAAGAAAGAAAACUUGGGAUAAAGUAGCCGUUCUUCAGGCACUUGCGUCCACAGUAAACAGGGAUACCACAGCUGUGCCUUAUGUGUUUCAAGAUGAUCCUUACCUUAUGCCAGCAUCCUCUUUGGAAUCUCGUUCAUUUUUACUGGCAAAGAAAUCCGGGGAGAAUGUGGCCAAGUUUAUUAUUAAUUCGUACCCCAAAUAUUUUCAGAAGGACAUAGCUGAACCUCAUAUACCGUGUUUAAUGCCUGAGUACUUUGAACCUCAGAUCAAAGACAUAAGUGAAGCCGCCCUGAAGGAACGAAUCGAGCUCAGAAAAGUCAAAGCCUCUGUGGACAUGUUUGAUCAGCUUUUGCAAGCAGGUGACUGAGUUCGAUUAAAGCACCUCUAAUAACAUGGGCUUUGAAGUGGGCCCCAGUUAUAUGAUUCAUAUAUUUUGAGUAAGAGUUACAGGUCCUGCUGUACUUACUCUGCUUUGAUGGCUGCGUGCUUUAUAUUU